UAAUACUUUAAUAGUUUGAGAUAUGAUAUUCUUCUGGAUUAGAUUGUGUUUAGAUUAUGAAGUGGUAUUCUUCUUAGACUUGGUAGUUAGUUUGUGUCUAAUUUUGGGAGGGGUUAUUUUUAAGCUCUAAAAAAAUUGGAUUUUGGAUUAGACUUGGUGUUAAUGGUUGCAGCAGGCUUGGUGUUCUCCUUAGACUUGGGCUUGAGAUUAGGGUUGGGGUUGGACUUUGAAUUAAGCUUGGAUUGAUCUUAGGCUUGGGAGUCAACAUUAAAUUUGGAUUGGGGUUAACUUUGGGGUUGGGAUUGGAAUUAGGGUUAAGAUUUGGAAUUAGUUUCAGGCUGCAUUUUUAAAGGGACAGAACUCGCCCAGAGGAGGUUGCUGGAGCCGUUGGUCUGAGCUGCCUUGCCUCUUCCCUGCUCCGGUGCCGCUGCUACUACUGGAAAGUGAUCGGAAAUGUUGCUGCUGUUGCCACAGAUUAAGAAAAAGGGGUUCGUCGCAAUUAAUUCCUGCUAACUCGACACUCUAAGUUUGAGAUAGACAAGGAGAGGAGAGUAGCAGCUCAUAGGAGAGCAGUGUUGAGAAAAGAAAGCCAAGUUGCUGAACAUUCUAGAAGGUUUCGUGCCAUUGAGACUCGGAUCAAUCAAGAGACCUCAAAGAUGAGAAAAACUAUUGCAGAGGUGUCCAAUUUGCACAGGGUCAAGUGUACAAAAUUGAUGCCAACGUGCUAGACUUUAUAUUGACUGAAAUAUGAUAAAAGAUUCAAUAA
This is a non-coding RNA of Arachis ipaensis, 766 nucleotides long. Lineage: Eukaryota; Viridiplantae; Streptophyta; Magnoliopsida; Fabales; Fabaceae. The record is from RefSeq and is a predicted model, not a curated record.